This 5230-nucleotide long non-coding RNA is filed under the name Theobroma cacao (cacao). Its description in RNAcentral is "long non-coding RNA (TCAC_LNC000364)". Lineage: Eukaryota; Viridiplantae; Streptophyta; Magnoliopsida; Malvales; Malvaceae. The record is from RNAcentral.
CCGAUGAACACACACUAGGUCGAACACUAUCUGCAAAAGGGAAAUAAAGGGGUGACUCUCACAGACUCAGUAAUCAUCGGCUCCGUGAGUAGGAAGUAGAUGGGAAACAAGCUUAAGGCAGAUCAUUUGAAUGAUAAAUCCGAAAUAAAAGUAAUAAUCUUAGAAAAAUUAAAUCUCAAAUAGAGUGUUUUGCCUUGUAAAAAUGAUGCCGUAAAAUCAUCGUGCAAUAUUUCACUUGGCAAAACGAUGCUGAAAACAAGUGUAGCGAAACCAAGUUCAAUCAUAGCAAACAUCACUUACGAUCAAAAUACGAGAAACGGUAUAAAAAUAUGCACGUUCCCAAGUUGUGUGGCACGUAAAGAAAUCAAUUUAUAAAGCCACAUAAACCAGCUCAUGAUUGACAAGUAAGCACUGAAAGCUUUUAUUCAAAUAAAGGGAGCUACAUAGAAAAACCUUAACUCUCCACCAUGCAAAAGAGUACGCGUCGAAAAACUCACAAGGCUCUCGAGUAGGAAAGUAUAAUAUCAACACACGGACCCACUUCCACGUAAUAACAAUCCGGGAACACUGCUUCCACCGGAUUCCCACAUGUCAUGGCAGUCUCGAUGAUGUUGGCCGACAUCGGAGAAUCAAGUGGUCACAACCGUGAAUAUCACUUGUGGCCUAGCCAUAUAUAACAACCCGUGGCCUUGCCACGUAUAUCAUAGACCAUGGCCCCAGCCAUGUCUAUCAGCUUAUCAGUGACUCAAAGGUUCUCUAGCUAAAGCUCACUUGUGCACAAGAGUACACUUAACUAAAGUGACAUUUGACCUAAUCUCAACACUCUCGGUUUGUCAAAAUUGUUUUCAAAACCAAAUCAAGUUUUUCAAGACUUUUUCUUUUAAAUCUUUUGAAAUCAAGGUUUGAUAACCGGUCAAAUUGCAUUUCUCAUUAAUUGGAAUGGUGUAAACACGUGUACAAAGGUCGAAAUAAAACCGGUGCUCAAAACUUGUAUUUAAAUCAUUUUAACAAAUGCAUUUAGCUUUGCAGAUCACACAAAAAUACAAGGCACGAAUUUUGAUGAAAACAUCAUAAAAAGGCUUGUUUCUCUGUUUCUAAAACACUUUACAUAUAUAGAUUAUCUAUAGGCAUAUCCAAACCAACUUUCAAAACAACUUGCAUCCACAAAAUACCUAGGAUUCUACCAACUCAUGCUUUCCACAAAUUUUGCAUUUAAAAUAAAUCAUCACAUAUAUAUAUUAUGGAAAUUUGGAAAUCGACACCCCCUACUCACCUUACAAUAGCAGGACGACACUUUAUCGUUAUUGAUUCGAGUGUGUAUCUAGCUAUUUCUACUUGCCGGUCACCCGUUACCUCGUCCGGCAUGCCACCACGGUAAACUUUUCUAGCAAUAAAUUAAACUCAAUAUAUUUAAUGUAUAUCAUUUCCACUUCUCUUUCUCAUUCAAUCAUAAAUCCUCAUUCUAUUAACUUGCAUCUUAACACGUUUUUGCUAAGGUUAUUCAUAUCCUUUGUUUGUGUAAUUCUUUAGAUUAUAAGUACCAGCAACUUAUUCAUAACUUUAGCACACAAUUUAAUCUUUUCCAAUGAUAUUUAUCAAGUUUAGCUAUCAUUUUCACACCAAUAACCUCGCAUAUGGCAGCAAUUAUAAAUCUAAUUUCAUCAAGCAUUUUGCAAGUUUACAUGCACCAUAAUUCACAUUUACUUGCUGCCUCCAAGCAUAACAUCAAUAUUCAUUCAUAUGCACUAACAUUCAUAAUCUUUUAAACCUUUCACAACAACACAUAUCCACACAUUACAUUUUUUUCAAGUUUUCAACUAUCAUAAUUGCAUUUAAUCGUACCCAUGACAUCAAAAUAACACUACACAUUGCAUGCCUUACCUUUGUGGUGAAUUUGACCUUGCAUGCAACCUUAAUGCUCUUCCAAUAUUCCACUCACCAAGCUACCAACAAUUGCACAAUCAUUCCUUACGAUAUUCAUCUAACCGUAGGCUUCAAAACAUAGUGUUAAGCUUGCCGUUUUUCUUUCACCUUGAACCCAUUAUGCACCCACAAGUUUGGUGGCUUGCAUGUCACCAAUUUUUCUCUAAUCAAGCUGAUCUUUGCUGCCACUAGACAUUUCUCUUAGUCAUCAACUCAUUUUCAAGGAUUACUCAAGCUAAAAACAAAAAUCCUUACCUUUCCUUGCUUGAAUCACAAAACCGAGCUUUAUACCUCCAUUGACUCUCUAUGGCUUCUCUCUUGAGUAUUGAAGGUUCCUUGAGUGAAACAACAACAUAAAUCUACAAGAUGAGGGAGGAAAUCUCACGGUUCCUCUUGGUUUUUUGCAAAACGGAGCCUUUCCUUCCUUUCUUGCUUUUUCUUUAUUUCUUUCUCUCAUUUCCUUUCUGUUUUCUUCUUUCUUUCCUCUUGUUUCUCUUUUCUUCUUGGUUAUGGGUGGACUUCUCAAGGCCAAGCCUUGAAAAUGGCUUUCAUUUUCUCAUUUUUCUCUCCCAUGGGUGGAUUGCCCAAGGUCAUUCACCUUUUUCUCUUCUUUCCUUUUCUUGUCUCUUUAUUUUUCCUUCAUGGGUGGAUUGCCCAAAAAUUGCUCAUUUUAGCAUUUUUCCUUUUUCCUUUUAUGUGGCAAAAUUGCAAGUCAAAAGGCCUUUGAACCAUUCCACUUGUCGUUCACUUUUCAUUGUCCAUUCUUUCUUCAUUUCUUUUUCAUCUCUUAUUUACAUGCCAUGCCAUUCAAUUACCUUUCUUUGUUUUCUUUCUAUUAAAUAUUAUAUUUAUGCCUUUUCUUCUCAAAUCACAUCACCUUAUUUACUUGUUUACAUGGGCUAUCUUUGCCAAACCAUGGUUUUCUCUAAUUAAAUAUUUUUUGAUUCUUUUUCUCUUGUCAACUUUCACAUGGUGGGGUACCAUAUGUUUUGUCACGACUCGGUACUCCCCUCGAGCCCGUGACAACCUCCACGACGUCUCGGUAGACAUUCGUUACCCGAAAUGCCAACCGGAACCCCGCAAGGCUUUAGUACCUUUUUUUUUCAUCUCCCCUGUGAGUAAUCAUCGCCAAACCACGUUUUUAAAAAAUUUUAAGCUUUUUCCCUUUCAAAACCGUGAAAAAAUAAUUUUCGCCUCACAGGGGCGUUUUUGUCAUUUUUCCUUAAAAUUUUCUAAACCUGACUAAAAAUGUAGUAGAUGACUGAAAAACACAUAUUUCAUGAUUUAAAAUAGAUUUGGGCGUCUAAAACAUUUAUUAAAAAUGACAUUGCAACUAUUUAAAUAAAAUAAUAAUAUUUUAUAAAAUAUUCUAAUUGCUUGUAAAACAAUAUUUAUAGUCAUCGGUAAAUAUUUUUUGUAAUGUAAAAGCUAAAUAAAUUCAUACGUACUAUAAUACAAAUAACCGGGAUAUGAAAUUUACUUUACAGUGACUCGUGGGCCAACAAGGAACAAAAGUGCACAAAGGCAAUAAACCUACAAUUUUUGGAGUAGUAAAGCCGACUAUAAUCCUUGACGAUAUUUGCUAUCCAUAGGCUACCUCGGGCCUGAAAUGGUUAAAAAGGUGGGUGGUGAGAUUAUAAAAUCUCAGUGAGUAAACAGAUACCAUCUAAAUCAUCUAAAGUCGAGUAAGUGGAGAUAGAUAAAACAGUUUAACAUACUGAAAUUCAUCACCUUUCAACUUGUUUCAACCAAAUAAAAUCAAUUCAUAUAAAUCGAGUAAUUAACAUGGCUUAUGAAUUUCUUAAAACUUUGGCUCGUGCCAAAAAUCAUUUUUAUACCCAGUUAUCAAGGAUGCCUUGAUCGAGGGCUAUCCCAACCGAGUCCGCCAAGGCUAAUAAAAAGUCAUGUACGCAUAAAUCAUAUUUUUAUUUUGAAAACAUAGUCGUUCCUUGGCGUUGGCUGAGUUCUCCCCACGUGGUGGUUGGGUAUGAAGUGAACUCUAAAGUUUGACCUCAGGAGUUACCCUACGCGCCUCUACAAUCGAGGUGCAUAUAUAUGACCAGGUUCCAUGCCCUUAUAAUAGGUUGGUCUACAGAACCAGCCCACUGCAGCAAGCUAAACCCACUAUAUAAUAAAAAUUCAACAGCAUGAUAUGACAAUUUUUUAAUUAUCCAGCCUAUCAAGGCAAACAAUAGUUUAUACAUUUCAACACAAAUACCAAUUUAGCCAUUCAUGCCAAUAUUGUCCUAAGCCAAACAAUUAGAACCAUAUAUUCACAAUACAUCAAAUGGUCUCCAAUUACUCUAUUUUCAAAGCCAUUAUUCAAUUUCAAAACAAUUUUUUGAAAUCAUUUCAUUAAAUCACAUUUGGUUUAUAAAAUCGAAAAAUUAAUCAUUUAAUUCAUUUUCCAUGAAAUUCACAAAAUCAGAUAAAAACCACUUUAGAUAAUUAAGACGAUAGUAAGGUUACUCACAGUACUAGGAGUUCGAUAUACUUCUAUUCUCGAUCUUCAAGCACAAUCUCUUUACCCCUGUUAGAGGGCUCACCACCUAUACAUCGUAUGUGACACGAAUUUCAAUAAAUUGUGUCAAUUUAUCAUAAACUAUUUCAGGCUCUAUAAAUCUAUGUGAAUGCACGAAAUGUGAUGCAAAAUGUGUGAAUAGUCGUUUACAUACGGUAUUCGAUCUAAUUCGCACUAUUCUCGGUGUAAUUGGCUAAAACGUCCAAUUUAACUCCAAAUCUAUUUCUUUCACUUUCUACACUCCAAUUAUACUUAAAAUACCUCAAUGAAUGUGAAUAUGAUUCAAUUUAUCAGUUUGAACCAUAAAUCGCACAUGUCUAUACAUUAGGUAAAAAUUCAGAUUUUCAUGCCAAAAUUUCCCAUUAAAUUUUUAGCCUCACCAAUCAUUAAAUACCACCAAAAUAUUAUGAAAUAUCAUCAAUUUCAACCUCAAUAUCCUCCCUAGAAAAUUCGGCCUCUUGUGGGUUUGUGAAGAACAAAGUGAUUCCUAGCUAGAUUUUCAUACUUUCCAUUACCAAACAACCAAAAACACUUAAUUAGCUUGAAAUCUAGCAAAAUCAAUGCUCAAAACCUCUCCUCUCAAAUUCGGCCAGUAUGGGUUCAUCAUGCAAACUUGAGUUCUAAGCAUGGAAAAUGAAAAAGAAAGCAUGCGUAGUGUAAAUCACAAGAUAAAAUCACAGAAUCUUACCUUUAUUAGCUUAAUCCCUUGAAAUCCCACACUUUUUCUUCAAUUUUCCCACCUAGGGUUUGUGGUCUUUCCUUUCCUCUUCACUUCAUGCUUUGGCC